This is a long non-coding RNA of Camelus dromedarius (Arabian camel), 260 nucleotides long. RefSeq lists it as uncharacterized. The record is from RefSeq and is a predicted model, not a curated record. Lineage: Eukaryota; Metazoa; Chordata; Mammalia; Artiodactyla; Camelidae. The transcript is spliced from 2 exons.
UUUACCACCUGGGGAAAGUGUAUACAUAUAACCCUUUGUGCAAGUGCUCUUUUUCUGGCUGCAGAGAUCCCAAGGACCAGACUGACUAUGAGAACAACCUAGCCAUGAAGGUGUUCUUCUUCCAGUUUGUCAACUACUACUCCUCGUGUUUCUACAUCACAUUCUUUAAGGGCAGAUUUGUGACUUAUCCUGGAGAUCUGGUGUAUUGGCUGUGAAAAUACAGAAAUGAAGACGUGUGAAUACAGCUUUGUGUUCUGACA